This 1704-nucleotide long non-coding RNA is filed under the name Sus scrofa (pig). Its description in RNAcentral is "lncRNA (ENSSSCG00050067489.1)". Lineage: Eukaryota; Metazoa; Chordata; Mammalia; Artiodactyla; Suidae. The record is from RNAcentral.
GAUAACGGUUGAUGUUAGCAUGUCUUCCCCAGCACAAUCUGGAGUUUGCCCAGAAAAUUCUGUAAACAGAAGUUUUACUGUGUGCAAACUAUAAACUUUUCUUUCCAGGCAUUGUGGAGAAUGGAGCUUUUUACUGUGCAGCUGGGGGACAUCAGGAGCAUGCGUUUAAAACAUAAACUUCCUUAAGUGGAAAAAGAAUGCUUCUCUGUCUUCAGAAGCGCUUUGCUAUGUGACAUUUUUGCCUUUGUGAAUUUUACAUCUGUGUUAGCCCUUUUCUUUGCUUGUUACGUUUGGCUGGUCAUGAAGGUAGAAGCUAAACACACACACACACACACACGUGUGCAUACACCCACACUCAUAAAGGGUUUUCUUCUUCCACUUUAACUUUUAAUCUACUUGGCUUGUAGUGAAGUGGACAGUCUUGUUUUUGAACCACAUUGUGACAGAGCUUCAUCAUUACUUUGCCAAGGAGUAGAAAAUGCCAAGUUUUUAAAAUUCGGUUUCUUCUCUGGGGGAUCAUCGCGUUGAAGUUAUUGGAGACGAACUGACCCCAUGGUUGGAAAGGGGAAAACACACCUCAUUUCGUCUUAAACUGUCCAAUAACAAUGGCUGACCUUCGGGUUCUCCAGUGUGCUUUGUGAAGUCCUUUCAUUGAUAUGAUUGUGUUGAUUGCUCUCAAAGCUGCGAUUAUUAAGUCCAUUCCACCAUCAGGAACCUGAGGCGGGGGGCGGGGGGGGGCAGUGAAAGAAGUUUUCCUCUUCAAAUGUCUUCUCUUUUCUCCCUCUGACAGUGCUAUGGCUAGACCUUCAGCCCCUCGCACCCCAAUUAAUGCUCUUUCUUUCAUCUUGUUUUUCAAGAUGUAUGUAAGUUGCCCAAAGAUGGAGGAACUUGCAGGAAAUUUAUCAUAAAAUGGUACCAUGACGCGGUGACUGGAAACUGUGCAAGAUUCUGGUAUGGAGGUUGUGGUGGAAAUGAAAACAGAUUUGAUUCGCAGGAAGAAUGUGAAAAGGUUUGCUCUCCUGUGCUCGUCAAACCCAAAGUCAUAGCUGCAAUUGGGACCUAAGCGUGGCCCCCGUGACACAUACCUCUUGAGGAAGAAGGAGGCAGCCACUGCAAGUCGUCUCUGUAGAAGCCCUCGGUGUAGACCGCCUUGCACUGUGCCGUUUCAUGCUUUGAGUUACACUCGGACUUGGGAGGAAACGUCUGCCGCAUGACUAUCCAUAUGGUGCUAACUGUGUCUGUGGACCCAGCGCUCUCUGUCUCUAGGCAGUUACAUCGUAUACUUUGAACGUUGCGCAACAGUUACCCACUGCUGGUGUUUCUGUGAAUAUCCCCAUAAAGUCAGAUUCCCUCUGGAGUUUCACCUUAUGCCUGUCUCAGGCAGGUGUAAGGUCUAGAAAAUAACCCCCAACUUCACAGCUACUCUGUAUCCUUCCGCUUGGUUCAUUCCUGCCCCGCCUUUCAUUAAGCAUGAUUUUAGAUGGAAAGCCUGUUGUAUGGAGAAUAAGCAAGAGUCCACGUGUUCAUGUACCACCAAUUUCCUGGAUUCGAUUGCGAGCUAAUUUUCUUUUUUCUAAAGCUUCUAAGGAACAAUCUAGGGAGGCAGAAGCCAACUCCCUUAAUCUUUGUGCGCCAUUGCGGGACCAAUGCCUUCAUUAAAGGAUGAAAAGAAAGUCAUAAUAGAGAAUAUUUUUGGCAUUCCUC